RNAcentral lists this ribosomal RNA (253 nucleotides) under uncultured bacterium. Its description in RNAcentral is "partial 16S ribosomal RNA". It matches the Rfam family "Bacterial small subunit ribosomal RNA", at positions 524 to 776 of the family's 1533-position model. The record is from RNAcentral.
UACGUAGGUGGAGAGCGUUGUCCGGAAUUAUUGGGCGUAAAGGGUGCGUAGGCGGCUUUUUAAGUGGGAUGUGAAACCCCCGGGCUUAACCUUGGGAUUGCAUUCCAAACUGGAGAGCUAGAGUGCAGGAGAGGAAAGUGGAAUUCCCAGUGUAGCGGUGAAAUGCGUAGAGAUUGGGAGGAACACCAGUGGCGAAGGCGACUUUCUAGACUGUAACUGACGCUGAGGCACGAAAGUGUGGGUAGCAAACAGG